UACGGGAGGGGCAAGCGUUAUCCAUCAUUACUGGGCGUUAAGAGUUCGUAGACGGUAAAGCAAGUUUUUCAUGAAAUUUUAAGUAAAAAGCUUAAUACAGUUUGAAAAAGACUACUUUACUAGAGUUUUGCACAGAAAAACGUAAUUUCACACCUAAGGGUGAAAUCUGUAUUUUAUACGUGUGAAGGAGCGCCAGUUUGCGAAGGCGGUUUUUUGGUGUGUAACUGACGUUGAGGAACGAAAGUGUGGGUAGCAAACAGG
RNAcentral lists this ribosomal RNA (261 nucleotides) under uncultured bacterium. RNAcentral's name for it is "partial 16S ribosomal RNA". It matches the Rfam family "Bacterial small subunit ribosomal RNA", at positions 524 to 776 of the family's 1533-position model. The record is from RNAcentral.